UACGUAGGCAGCAAGCGUUGUUCGGAGUUACUGGGCGUAAAGAGUGCGUAGGCGGUUUUUUAAGUUUGGUGUGAAAUCUCCCGGCUUAACUGGGAGGGUGCGCCGAAAACUGGAAGGCUCGAGGAUGGGAGAGGCAUGCGGAAUUCCUGGUGUAGCGGUGAAAUGCGUAGGUAUCAGGAGGAACACCUGCGGUGUAGACAGCAUGCUGGACCAUUUCUGACGCUGAGGCACGAAAGCGUGGGUAGCAAACAGG
RNAcentral lists this ribosomal RNA (253 nucleotides) under uncultured bacterium. RNAcentral describes it as "partial 16S ribosomal RNA". It matches the Rfam family "Bacterial small subunit ribosomal RNA", at positions 524 to 776 of the family's 1533-position model. The record is from RNAcentral.